RNAcentral lists this ribosomal RNA (347 nucleotides) under uncultured bacterium. RNAcentral describes it as "bacterial SSU rRNA". It matches the Rfam family "Bacterial small subunit ribosomal RNA", at positions 8 to 334 of the family's 1533-position model. The record is from RNAcentral.
AGGGUUUGAUUAUGGCUCAGGAUGAACGCUGGCGGCGUGCCUAACACAUGCAAGUCGAACGGAGUUCUUAAGGAAUGCGACUUCGGUCAAAUGACUUUUGAACUUAGUGGCGGACGGGUGAGUAACGCGUGAGCAACCUGCCUUUCAGAGGGGGAUAACAUUUGGAAACAGAUGCUAAUACCGCAUAAGAUUACAGUACCGCAUGAUACAGUGAUCAAAGGAGCAAUCCGCUGAAAGAUGGGCUCGCGUCCGAUUAGAUAGUUGGUGAGGUAACGGCUCACCAAGUCGACGAUCGGUAGCCGGACUGAGAGGUUGAACGGCCACAUUGGGACUGAGACACGGCCCAG